CAGUCGCCACGGGAAUACGUAGGUGGCAAGCGUUGUCCGGAAUUAUUGGGCGUAAAGGGCUCGCAGGCGGUUUCUUAAGUCUGAUGUGAAAGCCCCCGGCUCAACCGGGGAGGGUCAUUGGAAACUGGGAAACUUGAGUGCAGAAGAGGAGAGUGGAAUUCCACGUGUAGCGGCGAAAUGCGUAGAGAUGUGGAGGAACACCAGUGGCGAAGGCGACUCUCUGGUCUGUAACUGACGCUGAGGAGCGAAAGCGUGGGGAGCGAACAGGAUUAGAUACCCCAGUAGUCCCUGUCUCUUAUAC
This 301-nucleotide ribosomal RNA is filed under the name uncultured bacterium. Its description in RNAcentral is "partial 16S ribosomal RNA". It matches the Rfam family "Bacterial small subunit ribosomal RNA", at positions 509 to 807 of the family's 1533-position model. The record is from RNAcentral.